RNAcentral lists this ribosomal RNA (301 nucleotides) under uncultured bacterium. Its description in RNAcentral is "partial 16S ribosomal RNA". It matches the Rfam family "Bacterial small subunit ribosomal RNA", at positions 509 to 807 of the family's 1533-position model. The record is from RNAcentral.
CAGUAGCCGCGGGAACACAGAGGGUGCAAGCGUUAAUCGGAAUUACUGGGCGUAAAGCGCGCGUAGGUGGUUCGCCAAGUUGGAUGUGAAAUCCCCGGGCUCAACCUGGGAACUGCAUCCAAAACUGGCGAGCUAGAGUAUGGUAGAGGGUGGUGGAAUUUCCUGUGUAGCGGUGAAAUGCGUAGAUAUAGGAAGGAACAUCAGUGGCGAAGGCGACCACCUGGACUGAUACUGACACUGAGGUGCGAAAGCGUGGGGAGCAAACAGGAUUAGAUACCCGUGUAGUCCCUGUCUCUUAUAC